Molecule: ribosomal RNA, 260 nt
Filed under: Amanita populiphila
Lineage: Eukaryota; Fungi; Basidiomycota; Agaricomycetes; Agaricales; Amanitaceae
Description: partial 28S ribosomal RNA
Rfam family: Eukaryotic large subunit ribosomal RNA
Source: RNAcentral
AAAGCUCAAAUUUGAAAUCUGGCAGUCUUUUUUUUCUUCUUUGGCUGUCCGAGUUGUAAUCUAGAGAAGUGCUUACCUGCACUGGACCAUGUAUAAGUCUCCUGGAAUGGAGCGUCACAGAGGGUGAGAAUCCCGUCUUUGACAUGGACUGCCAGUGUGUUGUGGUGUGCUCUCAAAGAGUCGAGUUGUUUGGGAAUGCAGCUCUAAAUGGGUGGUAAACUCCAUCUAAAGCUAAAUAUUGGCGAGAGACCGAUAGUGAA